Molecule: ribosomal RNA, 459 nt
Filed under: uncultured bacterium
Lineage: Bacteria
Description: partial 16S ribosomal RNA
Rfam family: Bacterial small subunit ribosomal RNA
Source: RNAcentral
CCUACGUGGUGCUGCAGUGAGGAAUAUUGGUCAAUGGGCGGGAGCCUGAACCAGCCAAGCCGCGUGAGGGAAGAAGGUACAGCGUAUCGUAAACCUCUUUUGUCAGGGAACAAAGGCGGGGACUAGUCCCCUGAUGAGGUUACCUUACGAACAAGCAUCGGCUAACUCCGUUCCAGCCGCCGCGGUAAUACGGAGGAUGCGAGCGUUAUCCUGAUUUAUUGGGUUUAAAGGGUGCGCAGGCGGCCCGUUCAGUCAGCGGUAAAAGCCCGGGGCUCAACCCCGGCGAGCCGUUGAAACUGGCGGGCUGGAGUUGGAGAGAAGUAGGCGGAAUGCGCGGUGUAGCGGUGAAAUGCUUAGAUAUCGCGCAGAACCCCGAUGGCGAAGGCAGCGUACCGGCUCCACACUGACGCUGAGGCACGAAAGCGUGGGUAUCGAACAGGAUUAGAUACCCUGGUAGUC